Molecule: ribosomal RNA, 253 nt
Filed under: uncultured bacterium
Lineage: Bacteria
Description: partial 16S ribosomal RNA
Rfam family: Bacterial small subunit ribosomal RNA
Source: RNAcentral
UACGUAGGGUGCGAGCGUUAAUCGGAAUUACUGGGCGUAAAGCGUGCGCAGGCGGUUCGUUGUGUCGGCGGUGAAAGCCCCGGGCUCAACCUGGGAAUGGCCGUUGAAACUGGCGAACUUGAGUGUGGCAGAGGGGGGUGGAAUUCCAGGUGUAGCAGUGAGAUGCGUAGAUAUCUGGAGGAACACCGAUGGCGAAGGCAGCCCCCUGGGCUAACACUGACGCUGAUGCACGAAAGCGUGGGGAGCAAACAGG